Molecule: ribosomal RNA, 432 nt
Filed under: uncultured bacterium
Lineage: Bacteria
Description: bacterial SSU rRNA
Rfam family: Bacterial small subunit ribosomal RNA
Source: RNAcentral
GAUGAACGCUGGCGGCGUGCUUAACACAUGCAAGUCGAACGAACCUUCGGGUUAGUGGCGGACGGGUGAGUAACGCGUGAGAAUCUGCCCUCAGGAGGGGGACAACAGCUGGAAACGGCUGCUAAUACCCCAUAUGCCGCGAGGUGAAAUGAAUUUCGCCUGAGGAUGAGCUCGCGUCUGAUUAGCUAGUUGGUGUAGGUAAUGGCUCACCAAGGCAUCGAUCAGUAGCUGGUCUGAGAGGAUGAUCAGCCACACUGGGACUGAGACACGGCCCAGACUCCUACGGGAGGCAGCAGUGGGGAAUUUUCCGCAAUGGGCGAAAGCCUGACGGAGCAAGGCCGCGUGAGGGAUGAAGGCCUCUGGGCUGUAAACCUCUUUUAUCAAGGAAGAAGAUCUGACGGUACUUGAAAGGAAGCCACGGCUAAUUCCGUG